GACGAACGCUGGCGGCGUGCCUAAUACAUGCAAGUUGAGCGCUGAAGGUUGGUACUUGUACCAACUGGAUGAGCAGCGAACGGGUGAGUAACGCGUGGGGAAUCUGCCUUUGAGCGGGGGACAACAUUUGGAAACGAAUGCUAAUACCGCAUAAAAACUUUAAACACAAGUUUUAAGUUUGAAAGAUGCAAUUGCAUCACUCAAAGAUGAUCCCUCGUUGUAUUAGCUAGUUGGUGAGGUAAAGGCUCACCAAGGCGAUGAUACAUAGCCGACCUGAGAGGGUGGUCGGCCACAUUGGGACUGAGACACGGCCCAAACUCCUACGGGAGGCAGCAGUAGGGAAUCUUCGGCAAUGGACGAAAGUCUGACCGAGCAACGCCGCGUGAGUGAAGAAGGUUUUCGGAUCGUAAAACUCUGUUGGUAGAGAAGAACGUUGGUGAGAGUGGAAAGCUCAUCAAGUGACGGUAACUACCCAGAAAGGGACGGCUAACUACGUG
This 497-nucleotide ribosomal RNA is filed under the name uncultured bacterium. RNAcentral's name for it is "partial 16S ribosomal RNA". It matches the Rfam family "Bacterial small subunit ribosomal RNA", at positions 28 to 507 of the family's 1533-position model. The record is from RNAcentral.